CUCACUCAGCGCCGAAAAGAUCUAUCAAUCCCCAGAGCGAACUUGCACAGUCCCUUUAAGCUUGCGGGGGCCUCAGUUUCCUUAUCUGUAAAAUGAGGAAAUCCGGCUUCUUUCAAGCUCCCGGAAGGAGGGCUUUCCUGCCUUCACCCGUCAGUCUUCCGUUUUAGAAAGUCCCAGUAAGAGAAAUAAUGAUAGACAAGGAAGUUGAUAUUAUAGAAUAAGGCAAAGUGAAAAUGAAUGGUUAAGAGCCACUAGAAAAUUCUGACUAAUAAGUGAAUUAAAAGAUGGAUCACAUGUCUGAUGGGAUUUGGUGAAAUCAAAUUUCCUAUGCAACCCAGAGUUAAGUCUGUGAGAGGUCCUCCAAAAUAAAAUGUUAUUUAUAUCUGUUCUAUGUAUUCAUUGUUAGCAAAAGCCAACACCCACAGGAGCCACAUAGCAUCCUUAGAGAUAAAAAUUCCUAAGAGCUACAAAUUGGAAACUUUUUUUCAUAUAUAGCUCCUUAAGUACUAGCUAAACAAUUAGAAAUGUUUGCUCUUGGUUAUAAAGUAAAUUUGGAACUAAGAUAGAUUGAUUAAUACAACCUGUGAAGAAUGAGGAAUCUAGCUUUAGCUAAGAAUUUUUAACCUGGGCUUUCUGAACUUUUAUUUUAAAAAUAAAUAUGUAUUUUUUUUACUCUUUCAAUAUAAUUGGUUUUCUUUGUAAUACUAUUUUAUACAUUUAGAAACAUUCUAAAGAGUCACCAAGUUUCCAAAGGUCCAUGGCAUUAAAAAGUUUGACAACCUCUACUUUAGAGUGACUUUCAACAGUUAGCUUUUCAUGGUGCUAACUCUUUCACUUAAAAUCAGCCAGUUUUUAGGAUUUGUAGCUUUAACUACACCUUAUAGCCCUGAGAAUGGCCUGAACUUCCCCAGGCUUAAAGUGCUCUAUCUUCUUUAUCUUUAUCCCCCAUCGUUAUAAUUGCCAUCAUUUUUCAUUACUGUCACUAAGUUCUUAUUAACUUAUAUCUGAAUCAAUGAAAUACCUUUCUGAAUUGGUCUGCUAAAAAAAAAUUCUCCAAUGGGUUCCCAUUCCAAUAAAAACUUCUCUCAUAUCAAUUGCAAAAUUGUCUUGAAAGCUUUAUCUGGGUGAUCUCAAAGCAAGCUACUCCUGUUAUAACUUAAUACCCCAUCAGUUAUCUCCCCAUUUAACUGCCAUAUCACUGUCUUCUAUUAUCAGAAUAUUCACACUCUUCCCCUACCAAAUAUCACAAGGUACUGUUUAAAUCAAAAGUAACUCAUCAGAAUGAAGUUGGAAACGCUUGGUGUAAAGAAUUUCCCAGGUCUCUUCCCAGAUCUAAUAUUCUAGCCUUAAAUAUAAUAAUCAAGCCAGCCCCUCCAAAAUCAGUACCCAAUCUACUUUUACCCCUUUAUUCCCAACUACUUUUAUAUAUCAGCUGGAUUGACUCCUUGAUAUAGAUAUAGAUAUAUAGAAAGUAUAUAUCAGCUGGAUUGACUCCUUGAUAUCCUUUGUAUCUUCCCACCUCAGAGUUUCUUAGACCUAGUUCCUUAUCCUGUUACACCCCACAAGUCAGACAGCCCAGGGACCAUAUUUAGAAAGAUCAUGAAUUUAUAGUUAGAAGGAAACUCAAACAUUAUUAUCUAGUCUAGUCAACUCAAUUAUAGGAAGGUGAAGUGAUUAAACCUAAGGAUACACAAGUAUGGAGAAUUAGAUGUGGGAUUAGAAUUGAGGCCCUCUGUCUCCCUGAAACCAGUGCUUUCAGCUCUGACUUUAGAACAAUGCUUCUUCAUCCCAUUUUCUUUGCCAAUUUUUUUAUGUAUACCAGGCCUCACCUCCACCCCCACCACAUUCACCAUUUGCUCUCAGAACUUUAAUCAAAGUAACACUGCAAUUUUCACUGGAAAAAAAAUUUAAAGUAGAACCAAGAUGAUGGAAUAGUAGGGAAAAAAUACAGCUUAGCUCCCCAACACAAUUCCUCCAUAAAGAUCUAGAAAACAUACUAUAGACUGGAAAAUCUAAGAAUAAUCUAAAAUAAUAUCCUUAUUAGUAUCUUAUAAUUGUUUAUUCACAGUUACCUUUUAAAAUUUCUCUUGAUUCUCAUAUUUUUAUUUCAAAGUUUUUCUGUAGCUCUUAUCUUUUCAUCAGGAAGGCUUAAAAAGCCUCUAUUUCAUUAAUGAUUCACUUUAAUACACUUAAUAUGGAUUUGCCUUUAGUAAGUCUAUAUAGGGCUUAUAGCUGGCACAGGGGCUAGAUUUCGUGGUCUGAAGUCAGAAAAGAUUCACCCAGCAAAAACAAAGAAAAAGAAAAAUAUAUGAGAAUAGGAUGGAGAAAUAAACAGGUAGUAAUUGUAAUGAUGAAUGUGAAUGGAAUGCAAUCUCCAUAAAACAGAAGAGGAAAAUGGAAUGGAUUAGAAAGUAGAAUUCAACAAAAUGUUAUAAGAACCACAAUAAAUAGUCAAGAGACUGGAACAGAAUCUAUUGUGCUUUAGCUAAAUUAAUAGCAGCAAUAGCAGUCAUCUCAGAUAAAUUAAUAGUAAAAAUAAGCCUAAUUAAAAGAGAAAAACAGGGAAACUACAUUGUAAAUAGCAAUACUAAAUAUAUGUUCAAAAAAGGCAUGUCUAAAUAUACAAAGGAGAAGUUAAAUGAAUUAGAGAGAGGAAAUAGUAAAAUUUAAUAAUGAGGAACCUCAAUUUACAGUCCAUUCAAAUCUGCAUAGUGAAGUACCCAAAUAGAAUUUAGAAACGUUAGAUGUAAUAGGUCUCUAGAGAAUACUGAAUGAAAAAAGAUGUGUACAUAUUUCUCAACUGUGCUUAUCACUUUCAUAAAAACCAUUUUGUUUUAAAUAACUUUUUAUUGACAGAAUCCAUGCCAGGGUAAUUUUUUACAGCAUUAUCCCUUGCAUUCAUUUCUGUUCCGAUUUUUCCCCUCCCUCCCUCACCCCCUCCCCCAGAUGGCAAGCAGUCCUUUACAUGUUGAAUAGGUUACAGUAUAUCCUAGAUACAUCAUAUAUGUGUGCAGAACCGAACAGUUCUCUUGUUGCACAGGGAGAAUUGGAUUCAGAAGGUAUAAAUAACCCAGGAAGAAAAACAAACAUGCAAGCAGUUUAUAUUCAUUUCCCAGUGUUCUUUCUUUGGGUGUAGCUGCUUCUGCCCAUCUUUGAUCAUUUGAAACUGAAUUAACUCUCUUUAUCAAAGAGAUCAACUUCCAUCAGAAUACAUCCUCAAACAGUAUCAUUGUUGAGGUAUAUAGUGAUCUCCUGGUUCUGCUCAUUUCACUUAGCAUCAGUUCAUAAAACCAAUCAUUUUUAAAACAUACAUAUGCAAUGAAGCAGAAAUAGUCUAUCUUUUAGAUAGAUAGACUAUUCCCCACAUCUGAAAUGCUCUUUCCUUAUCUCCAGAAAUCUAACCAAAAAUGUCUUAAGCAACAAAAACGAAAUUCUGGAAAAAAAAAAAAAAAAAGGCAAGCUAACAAAAUUGAGAUAAUCCCCUCCCCAUUCAAAUAAUAGAACUAGGAGCUGAAUUUUUUUGGGAGGGAAAAUAAAAAACAAAAAGUGAAUUGACAAGUAACAAAGAAAUAAAA
Antechinus flavipes (yellow-footed antechinus) is the source of this 3575-nucleotide long non-coding RNA. RefSeq lists it as uncharacterized. Lineage: Eukaryota; Metazoa; Chordata; Mammalia; Dasyuromorphia; Dasyuridae. The record is from RefSeq and is a predicted model, not a curated record. The transcript is spliced from 2 exons.